Long non-coding RNA from Bubalus bubalis (water buffalo), 1526 nucleotides. RefSeq lists it as uncharacterized. The transcript has 3 exons. The record is from RefSeq and is a predicted model, not a curated record. Lineage: Eukaryota; Metazoa; Chordata; Mammalia; Artiodactyla; Bovidae.
UUCCUAAUCUGCAGAGAGAAUCCACCUCCUAGGGCUGCUGCUGGGACGAAGUGAGCGCAGCGCCUGGAAGUGCUGACACAAUGCCAGCUCCCGUUAUGAUCGUCAGUUAGCACCAGUGAACAUGCUGCCAGUGUGAAAGGAUUCUGAAACGUCUACACCUCAGACUUCCUGAUUCUUCGGUUCUACUAACAAGAUAAGUCUGCCUGGAGUCAUAGUGAUUACAUGUAUUCUAGAAAUAAAUUUAGACAUCUGUGUUGUCUGCUUAAUACUCCCAUUAUGAUAGAGGUUUUUUUAAGACUUGUUUAUUUAUUGGCUCUGGCGGGUCUGUGCCACACACAGCCUAUCUCUAGCGGGGGUGCACAGGCUUCCCGUUGUGGGGGCUUCUCUUGUCUCGGGCACAGGCUCUAGGCACGUGGCUUCAGCAGUGGUAACGUGGGCUCAGCAGCUGCGGCACACAGGCUGAGCUGCUCCGCCGCAUGUGGGACCUCCUGGGACCAGGCACGGAACCGAUCUCCCCUGCAUUGCAAGGCAGAUUCGUAACCACCGGACCACCCAGAAAGGCCUAUUAUAGAGUUCUUUAAGAAACACCACAACACAAGUUCAACUAGAAGGUUCUGCCUCCACUGAGUCUGAAAGUCGCAGGAUACAUCUGCAACUACAGAUACAUCAGCGUCUCAGAUCACCUUCCUGGGCCCUGCAUGGCAGCAAAGGCACAGGCUUUGGGGAACCUGAACUGGGCCCCGCGACAGAGGGAGCUUAAACUUCGACUCAGAGGAACCCUCUCCAAGGGGAUUCUGUGGCUGGAGGAAGGGAUCAAGGAGAGGGAAAUUUGGAGGCCAAGCAGGAACACACAAGCAGGAAGGGCUUUUCCCUCAUGAAGAGAACUGCAACCCACUCGCAGGGCGCCGAUGAUGAACCAGCCACAUGCUCUGCAAAGCCCACACCCCGAGCCUUCUCUCCCUGGGCUAACGCUAGAGCCUUCGGAAGCAACAGCUGGUGGGUAAGGGAGAAAACGGAGAAGGCAGAGACAGGAAACCAGUUAUGUCCUUUGCCACUUCCACCUGAAUCUGGCUCAAGCUGAGCGAAGAGAGGAGCUUUGAUAACACACAAGACCAGACUGCAUUAUAUUGUUAUGCGUCUAGGCUCAAAUCUUUAAUGCUUGAAAGUAAUCCAAGGACUCGCAAUAGGGAAGAAACUUUUUGUUCUAUUACCAGUUAAUCACUAAAGGGAAGUGUCUACACAACGGCCCAUCUCUGGGAACUCUGCCUCCGAGGUAAUGAGCAUUAAGCAAAAAUACCUUUGUUUAGCUCACAGGAAGCAUCCUGACCAAGCCCACCUGUGAAUGACUGCAGGAAGGGAGAAAUUAACACAUUCCCUCGGGAGACUGACCAGAACCAGGGAAUGUUUGACUCCACCCCCUCCCACUUUAGUAUAAAAGCCUGAAUUCUAACUCAGGCAGGACGGUUCUUUGGGACAUGAGUUCACCAUAUUCUUAGCUUGCUGACUUUUCAAUAAAGCUGCUAUUC